UUAUCGUCGAUGGAAAAAAGAAAGAUAAUCAAUUAUGAUGAUACGAAGAUCGAAGAAGAAAAGAUGAAAAAUAAUUUUUAAUAUUUAUUAAAUUAAUUUAAUAUUUUUAGAAUUUAAAACAUUAAGUUAUGACCCAACGACCCGAAGAUCCAGAAGAUCAUAUCCCGAAUCAAUUAAAUGAUUAUGAGAAAUAGAUAGGUCUUAUUAAAAAAAUAUUAAAGGCGAUUGUUGGGCGGUGGGGGAUUGCCAAAAGUAAUGCACGUAAACAAGUCACAAAAAGACUCACAAUGGAGAACACUACAACGGCACUCCAGGGUUUAGAGGUCGGAGAUACCGUCGCCUUGUACGUCUGCGGUGAUGCCGCCUGGGAGAUCCGCUGCGGUCCGCUCCAAAACCCUCUUGCCGCAGUCCUCGCUGCCGCACAGAACGUCCCCUCUCGCCUGGAGGUCGGUCUCAUCGGCAUCCGCAACUGUUGAGUCGCUGAUGCAACUUCACAGCGCCAUCGCCUCUGUUCGUUUCAGAUCAUUUAUAGCUGUUGAUUCCUCUUCUUGGAGCUGGCUGUCUCAAGAUAAUGAUUUCAUCUCGAAGCUUCAAAACCUGAUCUUGUUGGACAAGGGCCAUGGUUUCACCUCUAAUGCUUGCAUUUGAAGCUGAAGAAACUCGAAACUCUGUUAAUGAAAUUAUUUGGGGAGGCAUUUGGAUUGGAUCAAAAGAAGAUAAAAAGUUGAACAUGGCCUUCCAAAAGUUCAAAAGAGAAAAAAAAUCAAGGACAAAUGGUAUGCAAACAUGGAUAAAUGAUCUAGAAUGGACCUCCACCACUCAAGUGUGUGAGAUAUGAAUUGAUUAGACUGAGCACUCAUGCAUCAUGGCAGGAUAAAGAAAAAGGCAUGUCUGAGGCCAUCAUUAGCAGCAAAAACGGCAGACAAGGUCAUUGAUUCCAGAUAACUUAUUUUAGCUGGGAAUAUUAUAUGAGAGAUACAAAAAUAUAUUACUUACCCCUUUCACUGUGCUUCAUUCUCUAAGUUAACUACUUGCAUUAGACUCCAAGCUAGUUUAGUUUUCUUAGAUAACCUUAAAUGAUGUUUUAUUCAAGUAGGAAUGAUAUGAUCAGUUGACGGAUUCAUGAAGAAGGCAGGUAAGUUCGUUAUAUGUUGGCUUCUUGGUUUAUAAAUUUAUAAUAUGGUAUGCAUGUGUAUAUAUAUAAGGUCGAUAGUCUUUUAAUCUAAGAACAAAGAAAUUAAGUUCAUAACAGGUUUGUUUUUUUUUCAUCUGUAUUCACAACUGAGAUAAAAACACAUUGUUUUUGUUGAAUGAUUUCCUCAAAUUUGGAAAAAGAAAAUAUAACUUUUGAACCUUUGUGCUUACUUUUUCUUUAGAUUUCCCUAGUGGAGCUUUAGGUUGGAAGUGCCAUUCAUGGCUGCAGUAGUUUGUACAGUGGUACCACUUAUUUGGUGCUAUUAGAGAAGAUAUAUAUGUGGGGGAAAACAAAUAGGGAAAGAGAGCAAGUAAUAUAUUCCUUAAAGAUGAGUGGGAACGUGAUGGGGUGUGAAAGCCUUGCCAGCCAUUCUUUGUUUCAGUAGGAAAAACGCUUGAAGCUCUUCCUUUUUAAUCACAUAUUUGGAUUUUUCCUAUGCAAGAAGUUUUUGUUAAAUAGACUCUUCUUAUCAGAUCUCCUUACUGUUUCAGGCCAAGAUUUAUAUCUUCUCCAAUGUUUUCUCCUGUUCUUAGUAGCUUGCUUUUCCUCAAUGGUUCCGAAGAUUAGGUGCAUGAACUUCUUCCUUCUUUGCACGUAUCUGAGUUAUUCUCAUACUCCAAGCUUCCGGAGUAGCUAAAGAAAAGAAGAGUCAAUUGCUGCCCCAUUAACCUUCACUUUUUCUAGUUGUUUAUUCAAGUUGCUCACUAUUUUCUUUAAGAUGUUCCUCGUCAUGAUCCAACUAAAUUGAGUGCCUAGUUAGUGUACUACUCAUCAUGCUGGAACCAUCUGUUCUUCAAAUGGCAUCUCCUUGUUCCCCCAAACAUAGUGGAUUAGCCAUUGCACUCUGUCUCCUCCUACUGAUCUAUUGGAGUUAUUGCAGUAAUCAUUUGACUUCAACGUUGCUUACCUUGUUACUGCUGGUACUAUCCACCUUUUUUCCACUUCUCGGCCAAAUUGGCAAGGCUUGCUUCAAGGAGAAGCCAUCAGAAGCUGCUGCUGCUCUGCCACCAGAUGUAGUUUUUGCGGAUCAGAAGGCAUCCAUGGAAGAAUUUGUCGCAUAUCACAAUGAUGAAGCAGUCAGUGGGUCAGAAAAUCCAUCACUGAAGUAUGAAGGUCUGGAGGGGGAGUUAACAAGUGGGCUUCUAUCGGUAGAUGCUUUGAGUUCCAGUGGCAAAAAUGCACAAGAGAAUUUAAGUCAAACCACAUUGCGAUGCUCGAAAUCUUCUGAUGAGUCUUUGCUUGAGGAUGCUUGCUGCUUGAAGGAAAGCUUUGAAGGUUCAAUAUCAGAUGAUGAAAACCUCAUUGAGAUUAUACUCCCAGAUGAUCAUUUUGUUGUGCCUGAGGUGUCAAAAGCAUGGUUGAAGCCACUGCCAGAUAUAAUUAGAGGGUUACUGACAAAUCUUUUGCUUGAGCCAGUACUGAGGCAACAUGGACUGAUGGAGAUCGUAUCAGAAAUCGGUGACAACUUAAUCGAGAUUGAUAUCACCAGGGGCUGCAUCAAAUGCUCAAGAAUGGGAAUCAUGGCGUGCAUAGUUUAGAUGUUGAAGCAGUAAAGAGAUCAUCUGCCAAUAAUACUUGGCACCUGAUGGUGCUCCAGUUGGUGAGACAUGUUUCAUCAUUUUGUUGGAGAUUUUUUUUUUUUCGAGGGCUAGAGAUCCAACCUAGUUUGCAGCAUCCAACAGGUAGCCAAGUAGGUUAUAGAAAAUGAACGGCCACUUUUGAAGUGGUGUUGUACAGUAUCAAGGUAGCAUUCCAAGUUCAAAACUGAUGCAUGCUAUUUUGGUACUUAGUAUGGAAUGUACUGUAAAGAGUUGAUAUCACAUCCAGAAAUAAGAUGGCAAUUAUCACACUGCAUCACUUGGUCGGCCUGAUACACCUAACUCUUUAUAGCACCAUGGAGAACUAUAUUGAGAACUGAUGAUGUGUUCAUGCAGUCUUAAGUCAUAUCAGAGGUUCCGAUCCUUAUCUUCUGAUUUAGAACCUUGUGGAUGUGGCAUGCAAGUAUUUCACCUGGAUUCUCCUUCCAGUUAUUGUAAAGAAUAGAACCAUUAAAGUUAGCUUCUAGCUCUAGUGAUCUUGUUGAACCAGUGAUGACACAAAAAAGUGGUCAAACUGAAUACAUCUUCAAUGUAAACUCCAGCAGCUUUCUUUUUGCUAAAUUGUACUGUUGCCUUGAGAUCUCUAGAGUUCCUCAGCACUAAAGAUCUUCUGCAAUUUGUUUUUGUAGCUAUCUUUUUUAUUUUGUGUGAUAUGGAGGUGCGCAUGUGCUGCUCAGUGAAUGGAUGAAUGGACACCAUGUUGAAAUCAAUCUGACUCUAUAGCAGGUUUAGUUUUUUGUUGUAAUAAUUGCUUAGAUUCAAUGGACUUCUCCAAAUCCACUUGUCUUUGAAGGCAAAACACUGAUACAAGGGUUAGGAUUUACAGAGGAAUAUGUUCUCUUACCAGCUCCAAUCACAAGAUACAUCACCUAACAGAUGACAGCAGCUGCAGGGACUGACCAAACCAGAUUGAGCCUGUGCUCCAUGGUUCUGGAUUGAGAUUGUCAUCGAUCUUAAUAGUGGAUUAGGAAUCAUGAAAUGGAGUUGUAAAGUAGCAUGUCUUUCUUAAUGCACCUUCCAUGUUUACUCCUGCCCAAAUUUAGUCUUUUUCUUUUCAAUAA
Molecule: long non-coding RNA, 3854 nt
Organism: Musa acuminata AAA Group (dessert banana)
Lineage: Eukaryota; Viridiplantae; Streptophyta; Magnoliopsida; Zingiberales; Musaceae
Exons: 3
Source: RefSeq, a predicted model, not a curated record